Trachemys scripta elegans is the source of this 222-nucleotide long non-coding RNA. RefSeq lists it as uncharacterized. The transcript has 3 exons. NCBI's taxonomy places the organism in Eukaryota, Metazoa, Chordata, Testudines, Emydidae. The record is from RefSeq and is a predicted model, not a curated record.
CACAUGCUUUCUCAGAUUUCAAUUAAAUUCCUGUCCCCAUUUUUCACUUUUAUUUCUUUUUGUCCCUUGCAGGAAGAUGACCGGUGUGCUAGUUCAGGACUUAUGGAAACUAGAAAGGAUUGCAACUGCCAGCCUGGAGAACCAGGUUAUGCUGGCCUUCCUGGUCCAAAGGGUGAAAAAGGUGAUCAAGGUGCUCUAGGCUUCCCAGGAUUUCAAGGAAGA